This 300-nucleotide ribosomal RNA is filed under the name uncultured Colwelliaceae bacterium. RNAcentral describes it as "bacterial SSU rRNA". It matches the Rfam family "Bacterial small subunit ribosomal RNA", at positions 115 to 412 of the family's 1533-position model. The record is from RNAcentral. Lineage: Bacteria; Pseudomonadati; Pseudomonadota; Gammaproteobacteria; Alteromonadales; Colwelliaceae.
GCUUGGGAAUAUGCCUUGAGGUGGGGGACAACAGUUGGAAACGACUGCUAAUACCGCAUAAUGUCUACGGACCAAAGGAGGGGAUCUCUUCGGGAACCUUUCGCCUUUAGAUUAGCCCAAGUGAGAUUAGCUAGAUGGUGGGGUAAUGGCCUACCAUGGCGACGAUCUCUAGCUGGUUUGAGAGGAUGAUCAGCCACACUUGGGACUUGAGACACGGCCCAGACUCCUACGGGAGGCAGCAGUGGGGAAUAUUGCACAAUGGGCGAAAGCCUGAUGCAGCCAUGCCGCGUGUGUGAAGAA